Long non-coding RNA from Lynx canadensis (Canada lynx), 341 nucleotides. RefSeq lists it as uncharacterized. NCBI's taxonomy places the organism in Eukaryota, Metazoa, Chordata, Mammalia, Carnivora, Felidae. The transcript is spliced from 3 exons. The record is from RefSeq and is a predicted model, not a curated record.
CCAACACCUCAGGAGACGCCAGGCCCCCACAUCUGUGUUCUGGAACACACCAGAAUGAGAGAAAUUGUGGCUUCCAGUGGGAUAGCUGUGGAUGUUUCCUCAAAUCAAAACCACGGUGUCCGGUUAGGGAAGGCUGUAACACCUGACACCUCAGGACACACACCAAACAAGCUGCAGAGAUUCCUGAAGGAACAUCUCAAACUCCUGGGGGUGGCUCAGAUUAUGAUUAGUGUGAAAUUCAUCGUCUAUGGGAUAAUUGGAAUUUCAGUUCUCCAUUACGCAACACCCAACACCAGUUUCUUCUCAUUUCAGAUAGGCUUCCCAAUAUGGGCAGCUUUACC